Molecule: transfer RNA, 71 nt
Filed under: Bos taurus (domestic cattle)
Lineage: Eukaryota; Metazoa; Chordata; Mammalia; Artiodactyla; Bovidae
Also listed under: 2 other names
Rfam family: tRNA
About the family: Transfer RNA (tRNA) molecules are approximately 80 nucleotides in length.
Source: Rfam by way of RNAcentral
UCCCUUGUAGCUCAGUCGGUAAAGAAUCUGCCUGCAGUGCAGAAGACCCAAGUUCGAUCCUGGGUUGGGAA